Molecule: ribosomal RNA, 402 nt
Filed under: Bacteroidota bacterium
Lineage: Bacteria; Pseudomonadati; Bacteroidota
Description: Bacteroidetes bacterium partial 16S ribosomal RNA
Rfam family: Bacterial small subunit ribosomal RNA
Source: RNAcentral
UGGGGAAUUUUGCACAAUGGGGGAAACCCUGAUGCAGCGACGCCGCGUGAUUUAGAAGGCCUUCGGGUUGUAAAAAUCUUUUCUAUGGGAAGAAAAUGACAGUACCAUAGGAAUAAGGACCGGCUAAUUACGUGCCAGCAGCCGCGGUAAUACGUAAGGUCCGAGCGUUGUCCGGAAUCAUUGGGCGUAAAGGGUACGUAGGCGGGUAAGCAAGUUAGAAGUGAAAUCCUGUAGCUCAACUACAGUAAGCUUUUAAAACUGCUCAUCUUGAGAUAUGGAAGGGAAAGUGGAAUUCCUAGUGUAGCGGUGAAAUGCGAAGAUAUUAGGAGGAAUACCGGUGGCGAAGGAGACUUUCUGGCCAUAAUCUGACGCUGAGGUACGAAAGCGUGGGUAGCAAACAGG